Molecule: ribosomal RNA, 253 nt
Filed under: uncultured bacterium
Lineage: Bacteria
Description: partial 16S ribosomal RNA
Rfam family: Bacterial small subunit ribosomal RNA
Source: RNAcentral
UACAGAGGUCUCAACCGUUGUUCGGAUUCAUUGGGCGUAAAGGGUGCGUAGGCUGCGGAGUAAGUCAGGUGUGAAAUCUCGGGGCUCAACCCCGAAACUGCACUUGAUACUGCUUCGCUCGAGUACUGGAGAGGAGACUGGAAUUUACGGUGUAGCAGUGAAAUGCGUAGAUAUCGUAAGGAAGACCAGUGGCGAAGGCGAGUCUCUGGACAGUUACUGACGCUGAGGCACGAAGGCCAGGGGAGCAAACGGG